GGUUAAGCGACUAAGCGUACACGGUGGAUGCCCUGGCAGUCAGAGGCGAUGAAGGACGUGCUAAUCUGCGAUAAGCGUCGGUAAGGUGAUAUGAACCGUUAUAACCGGCGAUUUCCGAAUGGGGAAACCCAGUGUGUUUCGACACACUAUCAUUAACUGAAUCCAUAGGUUAAUGAGGCGAACCGGGGGAACUGAAACAUCUAAGUACCCCGAGGAAAAGAAAUCAACCGAGAUUCCCCCAGUAGCGGCGAGCGAACGGGGAGCAGCCCAGAGCCUGAAUCAGUAUGUGUGUUAGUGGAAGCGUCUGGAAAGGCGCGCGAUACAGGGUGACAGCCCCGUACACAAAAAUGCACAUAUUGUGAGCUCGAUGAGUAGGGCGGGACACGUGGUAUCCUGUCUGAAUAUGGGGGGACCAUCCUCCAAGGCUAAAUACUCCUGACUGACCGAUAGUGAACCAGUACCGUGAGGGAAAGGCGAAAAGAACCCCGGCGAGGGGAGUGAAAAAGAACCUGAAACCGUGUACGUACAAGCAGUGGGAGCACGCUUAGGCGUGUGACUGCGUACCUUUUGUAUAAUGGGUCAGCGACUUAUAUUCUGUAGCAAGGUUAACCGAAUAGGGGAGCCGAAGGGAAACCGAGUCUUAACUGGGCGUUAAGUUGCAGGGUAUAGACCCGAAACCCGGUGAUCUAGCCAUGGGCAGGUUGAAGGUUGGGUAACACUAACUGGAGGACCGAACCGACUAAUGUUGAAAAAUUAGCGGAUGACUUGUGGCUGGGGGUGAAAGGCCAAUCAAACCGGGAGAUAGCUGGUUCUCCCCGAAAGCUAUUUAGGUAGCGCCUCGUGAAUUCAUCUCCGGGGGUAGAGCACUGUUUCGGCAAGGGGGUCAUCCCGACUUACCAACCCGAUGCAAACUGCGAAUACCGGAGAAUGUUAUCACGGGAGACACACGGCGGGUGCUAACGUCCGUCGUGAAGAGGGAAACAACCCAGACCGCCAGCUAAGGUCCCAAAGUCAUGGUUAAGUGGGAAACGAUGUGGGAAGGCCCAGACAGCCAGGAUGUUGGCUUAGAAGCAGCCAUCAUUUAAAGAAAGCGUAAUAGCUCACUGGUCGAGUCGGCCUGCGCGGAAGAUGUAACGGGGCUAAACCAUGCACCGAAGCUGCGGCAGCGACGCUUAUGCGUUGUUGGGUAGGGGAGCGUUCUGUAAGCCUGCGAAGGUGUGCUGUGAGGCAUGCUGGAGGUAUCAGAAGUGCGAAUGCUGACAUAAGUAACGAUAAAGCGGGUGAAAAGCCCGCUCGCCGGAAGACCAAGGGUUCCUGUCCAACGUUAAUCGGGGCAGGGUGAGUCGACCCCUAAGGCGAGGCCGAAAGGCGUAGUCGAUGGGAAACAGGUUAAUAUUCCUGUACUUGGUGUUACUGCGAAGGGGGGACGGAGAAGGCUAUGUUGGCCGGGCGACGGUUGUCCCGGUUUAAGCGUGUAGGCUGGUUUUCCAGGCAAAUCCGGAAAAUCAAGGCUGAGGCGUGAUGACGAGGCACUACGGUGCUGAAGCAACAAAUGCCCUGCUUCCAGGAAAAGCCUCUAAGCAUCAGGUAACAUCAAAUCGUACCCCAAACCGACACAGGUGGUCAGGUAGAGAAUACCAAGGCGCUUGAGAGAACUCGGGUGAAGGAACUAGGCAAAAUGGUGCCGUAACUUCGGGAGAAGGCACGCUGAUAUGUAGGUGAAGCGACUUGCUCGUGGAGCUGAAAUCAGUCGAAGAUACCAGCUGGCUGCAACUGUUUAUUAAAAACACAGCACUGUGCAAACACGAAAGUGGACGUAUACGGUGUGACGCCUGCCCGGUGCCGGAAGGUUAAUUGAUGGGGUCAGCGCAAGCGAAGCUCUUGAUCGAAGCCCCGGUAAACGGCGGCCGUAACUAUAACGGUCCUAAGGUAGCGAAAUUCCUUGUCGGGUAAGUUCCGACCUGCACGAAUGGCGUAAUGAUGGCCAGGCUGUCUCCACCCGAGACUCAGUGAAAUUGAACUCGCUGUGAAGAUGCAGUGUACCCGCGGCAAGACGGAAAGACCCCGUGAACCUUUACUAUAGCUUGACACUGAACAUUGAGCCUUGAUGUGUAGGAUAGGUGGGAGGCUUUGAAGUGUGGACGCCAGUCUGCAUGGAGCCGACCUUGAAAUACCACCCUUUAAUGUUUGAUGUUCUAACGUGGACCCGUGAACCGGGUUGCGGACAGUGUCUGGUGGGUAGUUUGACUGGGGCGGUCUCCUCCUAAAGAGUAACGGAGGAGCACGAAGGUUGGCUAAUCCUGGUCGGACAUCAGGAGGUUAGUGCAAUGGCAUAAGCCAGCUUGACUGCGAGCGUGACGGCGCGAGCAGGUGCGAAAGCAGGUCAUAGUGAUCCGGUGGUUCUGAAUGGAAGGGCCAUCGCUCAACGGAUAAAAGGUACUCCGGGGAUAACAGGCUGAUACCGCCCAAGAGUUCAUAUCGACGGCGGUGUUUGGCACCUCGAUGUCGGCUCAUCACAUCCUGGGGCUGAAGUAGGUCCCAAGGGUAUGGCUGUUCGCCAUUUAAAGUGGUACGCGAGCUGGGUUUAGAACGUCGUGAGACAGUUCGGUCCCUAUCUGCCGUGGGCGCUGGAGAACUGAGGGGGGCUGCUCCUAGUACGAGAGGACCGGAGUGGACGCAUCACUGGUGUUCGGGUUGUCAUGCCAAUGGCACUGCCCGGUAGCUAAAUGCGGAAGAGAUAAGUGCUGAAAGCAUCUAAGCACGAAACUUGCCCCGAGAUGAGUUCUCCCUGACUCCUUGAGAGUCCUGAAGGAACGUUGAAGACGACGACGUUGAUAGGCCGGGUGUGUAAGCGCAGCGAUGCGUUGAGCUAACCGGUACUAAUGAACCGUGAGGCUUAACCUU
Molecule: ribosomal RNA, 2904 nt
Filed under: Escherichia coli
Lineage: Bacteria; Pseudomonadati; Pseudomonadota; Gammaproteobacteria; Enterobacterales; Enterobacteriaceae
Description: 23S ribosomal RNA
Rfam family: Bacterial large subunit ribosomal RNA
Source: RNAcentral